This 1445-nucleotide long non-coding RNA is filed under the name Homo sapiens (human). Its description in RNAcentral is "non-protein coding lnc-EID1-4:2". The record is from RNAcentral. Lineage: Eukaryota; Metazoa; Chordata; Mammalia; Primates; Hominidae.
CUCUCGCUCGCAGGAUUAGCGCAGUGGGAGGAGGCAGAGGUGAUCAGGUCCUGCCCGGCCUGGGACUUUUUGUCUUGAGGUGGGGAGGGGAGAAAUGGGAAGAGGUGGAGUAGCGGUUUUAGCCCGCUCUGCGGCUGCGAGGUUUAGAUCCGAGAUUAACCUCUCCCGCGAUAGGUGAAGCCCUACCGGAGCAGAAAGCUGUUCCACCUGCACCAAGAAUGCGCGCUGGAGACGGUUGCCCCGGAGGCCCUGGCCCGAGAGAAAACCAGUCCCCGCUGCCCGCGCCUCCCGGUAGCGCGCUCCCUGCGCCUCUCCCGCCGGACACUCAGCAGACGCCGGAGGCCGGGAGGCUAAGACUGGGCGCGUCGCAGGCCGGGACCGCGGCAGAGGCUGCUGUGCCGACCGAGGAGAGGGCUCUGCCGCCCCCACUUGCCCUGGGUGUCGAGAGCCCACUCCAGACGCGGCUCUUCUGAGGCUCAAUUCAAGCCACCCAGGCCUGAAUCCAGGGUGCUCUCUCUAAGUCGGUGUCCAACCCAGGGGCCUGUAAAUGUUGGAACCUAGGAUGUAGGAUGGGAGCGGUGAAGGGAUGGUCCUCUUGCCCAGCCCAGAUUAAGACUGGGGUUCAUCUGGAGGACUCUACUUACACCCUCCCGGUCCCCUCGCCCUCCCCCACACACAGCUGCCUCUCCCCAGGAUAUGCGCGGCACAGUGAAUUUAGUGGCUUUGAAAGGUAUAGUAUUUGUGGCAUCCUUAUAUGGAUAAUGCCCAAUGAUGCCUGCACCCUGUAACAGUUUAGGAAGGCCUGAAGUCGCACACUGGGUCCUGGCUGCUGUAACUGGAGACCCCCAGAAGAUCCCCUGCAAGCAGCCACCAGCCUGCUGUCAAGCCAAUAAUAAAAGCUCAGCACAAACAGGUACCCUGGGAAUGUAUCUUGUUGAAAGGGAUUUUCCUUAUUUGUAACCGUUUGUAAAGGGGCCCAGACAGUAGGGUAGAGAGACCUGGGCAAGUUAUUCAACUUCUUUCCAAAUACAAGAUGGGACUUGUAGUGUCCACCACACAGGGUUGUAAUGGUGAUGAUGGACAUGCUGAACUGCUGUGAUACAUGAAGAUGAAACAGAAAAACUGUGGGAACUAUGAGCUGAUCUAAAGCCAUAGUCCUGUAAGUAUGUAUGUGGUGUACUUUAAGGUCUCACCUGCAAAAGGUCUCUUAGCAGAUUCAUGAAUGAGAGCCUUGGUCACACACUCCUGGCUGAGUAAAGGAGAUCAUUCAUUCAAGAUGUUUUUACUGAGCACGAACUGUGUACUACUUAGUGCAUUGUUGAACUAGACUUCAACAAUUUUAACAAGGCAGGUUCAACAAUUUGAACACGACUGACUUCAACAAUUUAGUGAAAAGGGCAGAAAUGUGUCUCCCCUCACACAGCAGGUAGUCAACAAGGAAAGGC